This 320-nucleotide long non-coding RNA is filed under the name Lathyrus oleraceus (garden pea). RNAcentral's name for it is "Pisum sativum (pea) long non-coding RNA (PSAT_LNC029413)". The record is from RNAcentral. Lineage: Eukaryota; Viridiplantae; Streptophyta; Magnoliopsida; Fabales; Fabaceae.
GCCAACACAUGUUCAUCAGUUCAAUAUGUGUACUCCAUUACAACUCAUAAUAAAGAUGCACAAGCAUGAUUCAACCGAAGCCAACAACUUCAAUCCUAAAGUCAAAAAAGAGGUAAUUCAAGUCAUGCCAAUACCAAUAUCACUGAGUUCAUAUCAAGGACAAACAUAUUCAAAAACCAAAGCAAAUCAUGGCAUAACUCAAUCUCAUCAAUGCAUGUUUAAGCAUUCAAACACAUAAAGAUCAUCCAAGCCUAAUACCAAGUAUACAUCUAAACACAUUUUCAUACAUACAUCCAUAACGCUGAGUCAUGUCUCAAUUU